Molecule: ribosomal RNA, 466 nt
Filed under: uncultured bacterium
Lineage: Bacteria
Description: partial 16S ribosomal RNA
Rfam family: Bacterial small subunit ribosomal RNA
Source: RNAcentral
CUACGGGUCGCAGCAGUGGGGAAUAUUGGACAAUGGGGGAAACCCUGAUCCAGCAAUGCCGCGUGUGUGAAGAAGGCCUGCGGGUUGUAAAGCACUUUCGGUUGGGAGGACUGCUUCUAGCACUAAUAUUGUUGGAAGUUGACGUUACCUUCAGAAGAAGCACCGGCUAACUCCGUGCCAGCAGCCGCGGGUAAUACGGAGGGUGCAAGCGUUAAUCGGAAUUACUGGGCGUAAAGCGCGCGUAGGCGGCUAGAUCAGUCGGGUGUGAAAGCCCCGGGCUUAACCUGGGAACUGCAUCCGAUACUGUCUAGCUUGAGUACAGGAGAGGAGAGUGGAAUUCCACAUGUAGCGGUGAAAUGCGUAGAUAUGUGGAGGAACACCAAUGGCGAAGGCAGCUCUCUGGCCUGAUACUGACGCUGUGGUGCGAAAGCGUGGGGAGCAAACAGGAUUAGAUACCCCCGUAGUC